This 477-nucleotide ribosomal RNA is filed under the name uncultured bacterium. Its description in RNAcentral is "partial 16S ribosomal RNA". It matches the Rfam family "Bacterial small subunit ribosomal RNA", at positions 30 to 507 of the family's 1533-position model. The record is from RNAcentral.
AUUGAACGCUGGCGGCAUGCCUUACACAUGCAAGUCGAACGGUAACAGGUUAAGCUGACGAGUGGCGAACGGGUGAGUAAUGUAUCGGAACGUGCCCAGUCGUGGGGGAUAACUGCUCGAAAGAGCAGCUAAUACCGCAUACGACCUGAGGGUGCAAGCGGGGGAUCGCAAGACCUCGCGCGAUUGGAGCGGCCGAUAUCAGAUUAGGUAGUUGGUGAGGUAAAGGCUCACCAAGCCGACGAUCUGUAGCUGGUCUGAGAGGACGACCAGCCACACUGGGACUGAGACACGGCCCAGACUCCUACGGGAGGCAGCAGUGGGGAAUUUUGGACAAUGGGCGCAAGCCUGAUCCAGCCAUGCCGCGUGCGGGAAGAAGGCCUUCGGGUUGUAAACCGCUUUUGUCAGGGAAGAAAAGGUUCUGGCUAAUACCUGGGACUCAUGACGGUACCUGAAGAAUAAGCACCGGCUAACUACGUG